AGAGUUUGAUCCUGGCUCAGGAUAAACGCUGGCGGCGUGCCUAACACAUGCAAGUCGAACGCCCUCACGCAAGUGAGGGAGUGGCGGACGGGUGAGGAACACGUGGGUUAUCUACCUUGAGGUGAGGAAUACCGGCGAGAAAUCGCCGACAAAACCGCAUACGCUUCGCAAGAAGCAAAGUCGCAAGACGCCACAAGAUGAGCCUGCGCCCGAUUAGCUAGCUGGUGGGGUAAAAGCCUACCAGGGCGACGAUCGGUAGCUGGUCUGAGAGGACGAUCAGCCACACUGGGAUUGAGAACGGCCCAGACUCCUACGGGGGGCAGCAGUGAGGAAUUUUCGUCAAUGGGGGCAACCCUGAACGAGCAACGCCGCGUGCAGGAAGAAGGUUUUCGGAUCGUAAACUGCUUUUCUGUGGGAAGAGAACGGACGGUACCACAGGAAGAAGCCCCGGCUAACUACGUGCCAGCAGCCGCGGUAAUACGUAGGGGGCGAGCGUUGUCCGGAGUUACUGGGCGUAAAGGGCGUGCAGGCGGUGCAGUAAGUUUGGAGUGACAGUACCCGGCUUAACUGGGUAAGGACUUUGAAAACUGCUGGACUUGAGGGCCAGAGAGGGACAUAGAAUUCCGGGUGGAGUGGUGAAAUGCGUAGAUAUCCGGAGGAAUACCAAAGGCGAAGGCAGUGUCCUGGCUGGCAUCUGACGCUGAGGCGCGUAAGCUAGGGGAGCGAACAGGAUUAGAUACCCUGGUAGUCCUAGCCGUAAACGAUGACCACUAGAUGUGCGGGGUAUCGACCCCCUGCGUGUCGGAGUUAACAUUUUAAGUGGUCCGCCUGGGGAGUACGGUCGCAAGAUUAAAACUUAAAGGAAUUGACGG
RNAcentral lists this ribosomal RNA (872 nucleotides) under uncultured bacterium. RNAcentral's name for it is "bacterial SSU rRNA". It matches the Rfam family "Bacterial small subunit ribosomal RNA", at positions 8 to 916 of the family's 1533-position model. The record is from RNAcentral.